RNA transcript from Zalophus californianus (California sea lion), 2320 nucleotides. It is a transcript of the gene named tRNA methyltransferase 12 homolog, with no coding region annotated. The transcript is spliced from 4 exons. The record is from RefSeq and is a predicted model, not a curated record. NCBI's taxonomy places the organism in Eukaryota, Metazoa, Chordata, Mammalia, Carnivora, Otariidae.
GACAGUGAGAGGGUUACGACAAUCUUAACAGGGAAAGGGAAUGAGGAAGCUAUUGUUGACUCUUCACUCUCGGCAAAUGCUGUGGCCACUGACAUUGACCUGAGAGCAGCAUGAGACGAUGGGAAGCCUUUCUCCAAAUUCGGCCCAUCAUUCUAAGUGCACUUCUCUCUUUGGAUUCGUGAGCAGAACUGAAGACAGUGCACGAGGGUUCUGGAGGAUACCGACUAAUUGGACGUCUUUAAGCCCACAGCACUCCUUGUUAUUAAUCUUCUGCUAGGCGGCAGCAAGUUAACCGUAAACCACAACAAAGAUGGCAGCAGCGGCUUCAUCACGACAACGGCGACGCUACUUGCCAACGGGCGCCUCAAUAUUUACUUCCGGCCUGUCCGUUUGACGUCACUUCCGACACCGGCUCCCGGGCUUGUGCGCCGCUCCUCCUGCAGCCGCGGUCAAUAAUACCGAGCCGGGUGAGUGGAGUCUGAGAGAGUCUCACGGAGGGAAUCCGAGAGAAUGUGAGGCCAGCAACAUGGAAAGGGAAGGUGGGAGGCCUGCGGCUGUUGUCGCGGUUGUGACUGAGCCUCGGUUUACCCAGCGAUACAGGGAAUAUCUCGAGAAGCAGAAACUCCUGGAUAGACGGCACCGUGUAGUAAAGAUGCCUGAUGGCACGGUGGCGCUGCCGGUGCUGGGAGAGACUCUCCCUGAGCAGCACCUUCAAGAGCUGAGGGAUCGUCUGGCUCCAGGCGGCACCUGUAUAGUAACGCAGCUCCUGGAUCCUGUUCCCUCAAAGAAGGCCCAGGGUUGUUCACCUGCCCAAAGGCUGUGUCUUGAAGUGAGUCGCUGGGCAGAGGCCCGGGGAGUGACGUGGUCACCUGAGUUGGAGGCUGAUUUGCCCAGGUCUUGGCAACGACAUGGUGACCUCUUGUUGCUGAGCGAGGACUGUUUCCAAGCCAAGCGAUGGAAAAAUCUGGAACCGGAACUCUGGGAGACUGUUGCGUCUGCACUUGGCGUCCGUCGUGUGGCCAAACGAGGGCGAGUGUCGCCAGAUGGCACUCGAACACCAGCAGUGAGUCUGCUGCUGGGCGACCAUGGCUGGGUAGAGCAUGUGGAUAACGGGAUCCGAUAUAAGUUUGACGUGACCCAGUGCAUGUUCUCCUUCGGAAACAUCACUGAGAAGCUUCGAGUGGCAUCGCUGCCCUGUGCUGGAGAAGUGCUGGUGGAUCUCUAUGCAGGGAUUGGUUAUUUUACAUUGCCCUUCCUAGUCCAUGCUGGUGUUACCUUCGUCCAUGCCUGUGAGUGGAACCCCCAUGCUGUAGUUGCUCUGAGAAAGAACCUUGAUAUCAAUGGAGUGGCAGAUCGGUGCCAAAUACACUUUGGGGAUAACAGACAACUGAAGCUCUCAAACAUUGCAGACAGGGUGAACCUGGGACUGAUUCCCAGUUCUGAAGAAGGCUGGCCCAUUGCCUGCCAAGUGCUAAGACGGGAUGCAGGGGGCAUUUUGCAUAUCCACCAAAAUGUGGAAUCUUAUCCAGGCAAGAAUCUUCAGCCUCCUGGAAGCAGUGAAAUGGAGAAGGAGCAUCGGCCUUAUCCUCAGCAAAUUGUCACCAACCAAUGUACAAAUGGAGCAAUCAGGGAUUCUAGGAGAAGAAUGCUAUCAGCAGCCACCAAACCAGAGUGGCAGAGGUGGGCGGAAUCUGCAGAAACCCGUAUUGCCACCCUUCUUCAGCAGGUGCACGGGACACCGUGGAAGACACAAAUCCUGCACAUCCAACCAGUGAAAUCCUAUGCUCCCCACGUGGAUCAUAUAGUGUUGGAUUUGGAAUGCCGCCCCUGUCCUCUAGUUGGCUAGAGAAGGUGGAUCCUGAGACACAAGGAUCUACAUGCACUGUGAUGAGGGCCAGAGACACAGAGUUUUCUCCGAGCACUUGCUGGAUUGGCCUGGUCAGGAAGAGGCAUCUGUUGGAACCAAGGAAGAACGACUGAGAGGAUCGGGAGGCUCAUGGAGCGUUUGUCACCUCCGUCCAGGAAUGUGUGCUGAAGGCUUCCCUUGUGCACGCCAGUGUUAGUUGCCGGGUGAGGAUACUGAUGAUUAGAGAGUUUAAGUACUCUGUCUAGAGACAAGAGGCAGAAGUGGGCAAGCAUACUGCCAAGCACAUAGUGCUCUAUGUCUGUUACAUGAAUGAAUGAACCAAAGUAGUCAAUAUAUACUCAACAUUGAUUCCAAAUGCCACUAUAUUCUCUCGUUUCCUUAACUAAACAACAGACUUUUCCUAUUCAUUCGGCAUUUACAAAGCCAGAAGACUCAACUAGUAGCUGAAUUUUG